CAGUCGCCGCGGGAAUACAGAGGGUGCGAGCGUUAAUCGGAUUUACUGGGCGCAAAGCGUGCGUAGGCGGCUUCUUAAGUCGGAUGUGAAAUCCCUGAGCUUAACUUAGGAAUUGCAUUCGAUACUGGGAAGCUAGAGUAUGGGAGAGGAUGGUAGAAUUCCAGGUGUAGCGGUGAAAUGCGUAGAGAUCUGGAGGAAUACCGAUGGCGAAGGCAGCCAUCUGGCCUAAUACUGACGCUGAGGUACGAAAGCAUGGGGAGCAAACAGGAUUAGAUACCCGGGUAGUCCCUGUCUCUUAUAA
Molecule: ribosomal RNA, 301 nt
Filed under: uncultured bacterium
Lineage: Bacteria
Description: partial 16S ribosomal RNA
Rfam family: Bacterial small subunit ribosomal RNA
Source: RNAcentral